Long non-coding RNA from Homo sapiens (human), 208 nucleotides. Ensembl annotates it as PCBP1 antisense RNA 1. Its record names the gene PCBP1-AS1. The record is from Ensembl. Lineage: Eukaryota; Metazoa; Chordata; Mammalia; Primates; Hominidae.
AGGGGUGUUUGGCUUCUCAGACCCCAGCCUGAGCUAGUGCCCUUGGCUUCCUAGGGUCUUGCCAGGAAAGCAAAGGAGAACAUGCAUACCGCCAAAGAGUACCUAAUAAUAAGAACUCCCAUCCUGAAUUGUGAUUUAUAGUCAGCAUAGCACAUGUGUCAGGGAGGAGGACCUGGUUGAUAGAAGAAUUUAUCUCGUAGUCUUAACA